This is a long non-coding RNA of Lolium rigidum, 1488 nucleotides long. RefSeq lists it as uncharacterized. NCBI's taxonomy places the organism in Eukaryota, Viridiplantae, Streptophyta, Magnoliopsida, Poales, Poaceae. The transcript has 4 exons. The record is from RefSeq and is a predicted model, not a curated record.
UGCUACCAGUGCCUUCUUGAUGAAUCUGAUAAAUAAACAAUGUAUAAGUUAUAUCCUAUCAGCUUUUCCCAACCAACCUGGUGUACAAGAAAUUGCAUCAUCGUGUUGUCUUAUUUUAGUUCUCAUGAACACUAAAUGUACAUGUGAGAUCUCUACGUGUUAAUACAUUGCAUCUCGGAAGGUAAGGCUUAUGAUUUCGGAAUGUCUUGCUUAUGUCUCGCUUCAGCUUCUGGCUUUUGUGCCUGAGGCACAGUGGGUCAUCUGAAAAAUUUAGAGGGAUAAGAAAUAAGCAUCAUAAUUAAUGUGUGUAUAAGGCAAGAAAAAUCACCAAAAAUAUAGAUUCAAGCACGAAAAUAAAUUAAUUGUUAAAUUACCAUCCUAUAUGUUAGCAUCCAUUGGCAUAUUAAUACGCUUUCGUUUGCACUGAUUUAGGCGUUUCUUGCUUUGGAAGCCCAUGGUUACAUUUCAUGUAUUGAUUCUGCCAUUUGCGCGAUAGCGCAACGGGUCAUCUAGUAUAAGAAUGUGUAGGGCAGGUGCUAAAAUAUUAUAGGAAGCAUAGUUUCAUAAACAAUGCUUUAUGUGGUCUCAUUAGAAAUCUUUCUAAAGAUGUUUAUGUUCUUCCAAGUCUGACUUGGCUCUCCCUAACCCCUUCUCUACCUCUUUUGUUUAUUCUAGGAUUACCUUACUGAUCAAGGAAUGCUAGCAGGAUUCUUAGUGUUCAAUGCACCAUUGGAUGCUUGUAUCGGGUCCUCCUGCCUUUGUCAGUUUUUCUUAUCUUGCAAGGAUUACCAUAUUGAUCAAGGAAUGCUGGAUGGAUUCUUAGUGUGCAACACCAUGAGAUGUUUGUCUCAGGUCAAGGUCUUUUGAGUGUUAAGAUGCGACUUUGACUUUAAUGUAUCCUUUCUUAACUGCUAUGUAAUAUAAGGAUGUUUCUUGAUUGCGAUAGAUUAUUAUUUUGAUAUGUACUUGUUCCGAUACCACUGAAGCAAUACCUUAUGACACUUGUGUUGUACAGAAAAAUUGUUUGAAAGGGUUGAUGAUGAGUUCUGGUAGAAGCAUUGUCCUGGUCUUUCAAUAACUGGAAAUGCAUCGACAAGCAUUUAUGGUGAUAGCUGGACUUGAUAUCUUGGGUACAAAUAAGGUAUUUGCUACAUGCAGUUCUGUUGGCGCAUCGCUUGUUGUUUCUGGAGUUCAAAUGUUCAUCCUGUUGUGGUCGUGGCACAUAUUCCGGAAGCAAUUCAGUUCGCUAUAGGCCUUACCGAUGGCAUUGUUUAUGUCAUGAUUGGAAGGUUGCAGUUUUUACUUCAUGUUUUAGUUGAAAAUCUGAUAUUUGGAAUGUUGUGAAGUUACAUGUAUUAGGAUUUGUUAUGAUGUGAUAUAUAGAAUUCUGGAUUAUGUAUAUGUAUUACAGGGUGAAUACUUUCCUGGUACAUUUGUACAUUUGGAUUAUGUGCAUACAUUGUUGUUUAUAUUUGCCUUUAUUGUUAA